AUUGAACGCUGGCGGCAGGCCUAACACAUGCAAGUCGAGCGGAUGAAGGGAGCUUGCUCCUGGAUUCAGCGGCGGACGGGUGAGUAAUGCCUAGGAAUCUGCCUGGUAGUGGGGGAUAACGUCCGGAAACGGGCGCUAAUACCGCAUACGUCCUGAGGGAGAAAGUGGGGGAUCUUCGGACCUCACGCUAUCAGAUGAGCCUAGGUCGGAUUAGCUAGUUGGUGGGGUAAAGGCCUACCAAGGCGACGAUCCGUAACUGGUCUGAGAGGAUGAUCAGUCACACUGGAACUGAGACACGGUCCAGACUCCUACGGGAGGCAGCAGUGGGGAAUAUUGGACAAUGGGCGAAAGCCUGAUACAGCCAUGCCGCGUGUGUGAAGAAGGUCUUCGGAUUGUAAAGCACUUUAAGUUGGGAGGAAGGGCAGUAAGUUAAUACCCUGCUGUUUUGACGUUACCAACAGAAUAAGCACCGGCUAACUUCGUG
RNAcentral lists this ribosomal RNA (484 nucleotides) under uncultured bacterium. RNAcentral describes it as "partial 16S ribosomal RNA". It matches the Rfam family "Bacterial small subunit ribosomal RNA", at positions 30 to 507 of the family's 1533-position model. The record is from RNAcentral.